GCUGCCUUGGAGGCUGCACUUGACGCUGAAGAGACGAAAGCUAGGGGAGCGAACCAGGAUUAGAUGACCCUUGGUAGUCAUAGCCCUUAAACGAUGGCUGCUGGAUGUGGGAUCCAUAGAGUUCCGUGUCGAAGCAAACGCGUUAAGCAUCCCGCCUGGGGAGUACGUCCGCAAGGUUAAAACUCAAACGAAUUGACGGGACUCCGCACAAGCAGCGGAGCGUGUGGUUUAAUUCGAUGAUACACGAAGAACCUUACCUGGGUUUGACAUCUAGGUGGUAGCCAAGUGAAAGCGGAGUGACCCUUCGGGGAGCCUAGACAGGUGCUGCAUGGUUGUCGUCAGCUCGUGCCGUGAGGUGUCGGGUUAAGUCCAGUAACGAGCGCAACCCUUGCCCUCCGUUAUCCGUGUCAGAGGGGACUGCCGGCGGUAAGCCGGAGGAAGGUGGGGAGGAGGUCAAGUCAGCAUGGCCUUUAUAUCCAGGGUUACACCCACGCUACAAUGGCCAGUCCAAAGGGCAGCGAAGCCGCGAGGUGGAGCGAAUCCCAGCAAAGCUGGUGGUAGUUGGGAUCGCAGGGUGCAACCCUCCUGCAUUAAGCUGGAGUUGGUAGUAACCGCGCGUCAGCCAUAGUGCGGCGAAUACGUUCCCGGGGUUGUACACCCCGCCCGUCACGUCAUGGGAGUCGAUAACGCCUGAAGCCGCUGGCCUAGCUCGGAAGAGAGGGCGCUGUCUAAGGCGGGGUCGGUGACUGGGACGAAGUCGUAACAAGGUAACCAAGGGCGAA
RNAcentral lists this ribosomal RNA (782 nucleotides) under uncultured organism. Its description in RNAcentral is "bacterial SSU rRNA". It matches the Rfam family "Bacterial small subunit ribosomal RNA", at positions 721 to 1510 of the family's 1533-position model. The record is from RNAcentral.